UGAGUCGAAGGCGUUGCUCCUGUG
Molecule: non-coding RNA, 24 nt
Filed under: Rattus norvegicus (Norway rat)
Lineage: Eukaryota; Metazoa; Chordata; Mammalia; Rodentia; Muridae
Source: RNAcentral